Molecule: ribosomal RNA, 253 nt
Filed under: uncultured bacterium
Lineage: Bacteria
Description: partial 16S ribosomal RNA
Rfam family: Bacterial small subunit ribosomal RNA
Source: RNAcentral
GACGAACCGUACAAGCGUUAUUCGGAAUCACUGGGCUUAAAGGGUGCGUAGGCGGCGCGGAAAGUUGGGUGUGAAAUCCCUCGGCUCAACCGAGGAACUGCGCCCAAAACUGCCGUGCUUGAGGGAGACAGAGGUGAGCGGAACUAAGGGUGGAGCGGUGAAAUGCGUUGAUAUCCUGAGGAACACCGGUGGCGAAAGCGGCUCACUGGGUCUCUUCUGACGCUGAGGCACGAAAGCUAGGGGAGCAAACAGG